AAGCUCCUACGGGGCGCAGCAGUGAGGAAUAUUGGUCAAUGGCCGAGAGGCUGAACCAGCCAAGUCGCGUGAGGGAAGACGGCCCUACGGGUUGUAAACCUCUUUUGUCGGGGAGCAAAGCGAACCACGUGUGGUUCAUUGAGAGUACCCGGAGAAAAAGCAUCGGCUAACUCCGUGCCAGCAGCCGCGGUAAUACGGAGGAUGCGCGCGUUAUCCGGAUUUAUUGGGUUUAAAGGGUGCGCAGGCGGAGGUGCAAGUCAG
This 261-nucleotide ribosomal RNA is filed under the name uncultured bacterium. Its description in RNAcentral is "partial 16S ribosomal RNA". It matches the Rfam family "Bacterial small subunit ribosomal RNA", at positions 333 to 591 of the family's 1533-position model. The record is from RNAcentral.